RNAcentral lists this long non-coding RNA (1280 nucleotides) under Physcomitrium patens. RNAcentral describes it as "long non-coding RNA (PPAT_LNC003004)". Lineage: Eukaryota; Viridiplantae; Streptophyta; Bryopsida; Funariales; Funariaceae. The record is from RNAcentral.
AUGGGAGGAGUGCAAUUUCGGUUAGCCAAGGACGUCUCAGUUGUGGGAGCUAAAUCAGUUCUAGAAUUAGGGCUUCACUGCAACCUUUUUCCGUUCGUGACACGAGAUUUGCCUCUGGAGUGUUGAAGUUUUCAGCUGAGUCGGAAGGCAACUCAUUUCUCUGCGUAAUUUCACAGCCUCAAACGAACAAGAGGUGUCCAACAGUCACAAACUCCAGCUCCGUUCUGAACUUCACACAGAAUUGUGCCAAGUCAUAUAGAUUUAAUCAGUAGGUAUGUGGUAAUACUGAACUCCAAUAGUUACUUUACGAAUAUAUAAUAGCUAGUGGAGUUUAGAAACUAGCUUAUUGAUUGAUCUACGUGAGUGUUAGACAAUUCAGUUCACUUGGAUUUUAAAUAGCCUGGUUCGAGUAAAUAAUGAUAAAGUCUUGCAUGUGCAAAUACAGAUGGCCACUGCACUCUAAACAUACAUUGGUUCCACGGUGACGCUUCAGACACUCGUUCAUGUCUCAGGACCAGGCCAGGUUUAGACCAGGGCAGCUCGUGCUCUUUUAAAGGACUCCCUCUAACAAAUUCCGAUACAAGUUUAAGAAAAAUUUUCAGCUAUAGAUGCUUCAUGCUUCAUGCUGCUUUCCUUGCUCAACAAUUUGUACAUAAUGCUCAUACAAAUGGAUAUGUAAAGCGGUGUACUGUGCGACAGUUUUGAUGAUUGUUGAUAGUAGCGUAGCUUCCAGUCACGGAACUUUCAUUUCAAUCCAUCUCGUCCACCUACAUUAAGUACACGACCUACAAGAUUUAAACCAGCGAAGUGCAUCGUCAUUGCCUUCACUCAACAAACGAAAUGUUGGAAAAAAAAAACUCCAUGAAGAAGCACACUUAAUCUGUAAGAUCAAAAACAAGAAUACUAAAUUCCAAUUCCCUCAGUUUGAGUAUUUAGAUAGCUGUUCACAUUGAUUUAAAAAAAAAGGCACAAAGAAUAUCUAAAUGAUGAAUCGCUUCUGGAGAGACAAGUCUGAACAUCUUCAAUAAAAACUUGGCCUAGAAACCAAUAGUAAACCAAAGCAUAUCACAUAACGUUCUUUCGUACACAUUCGAUGCUAGCCAGGAGGAAAAGAACACCUCUAUCUCAGCGUCUCUGACUCAUUAUACGAUCACAGCCAAGGCUGUACCAAACUGAAUGAACCGUCAACCAUAUUGCUCAUUUUCAAAAAAAUCGCAGCAGGUUUAACAUAAUGUCCAUAAAUCCAAGUGCUGUUCUCAUCACAAUCAACUCACACUCAA